RNAcentral lists this ribosomal RNA (316 nucleotides) under uncultured Rhodoligotrophos sp. RNAcentral's name for it is "bacterial SSU rRNA". It matches the Rfam family "Bacterial small subunit ribosomal RNA", at positions 505 to 821 of the family's 1533-position model. The record is from RNAcentral. Lineage: Bacteria; Pseudomonadati; Pseudomonadota; Alphaproteobacteria; Hyphomicrobiales; Rhodoligotrophaceae.
GUGCCAGCCGCUGCGGUAAUACGGAGGGGGCUAGCGUUGUUCGGAAUCACUGGGCGUAAAGCGCACGUAGGCCGACUAUUAAGUCGGGGUGAAAGCCUGGAGCUCAACUCCAGAACUGCCUCCGAUACUGAUCGUCUUGAGUCCGAGAGAGGUGAGUGGAAUUCCCAGUGUAGAGGUGAAAUUCGUAGAUAUUGGGAAGAACACCAGUGGCGAAGGCGGCUCACUGGCUCGGUACUGACGCUGAGGUGCGAAAGCGGUGGGAGCAAACAGGAUUAGAUACCCUGGUAGUCCACGCCGUAAACGAUGGAUGCUAGCC